GGAAUGGUGCAAGAGCGGUUUAAUUGGCACGCCAGGAAAGCGUGUGUGCGGGAAACCGUACCGAGAGUUCGAAUCUCUCCCCUUCCG
Molecule: transfer RNA, 87 nt
Filed under: Bacteroidota bacterium
Lineage: Bacteria; Pseudomonadati; Bacteroidota
Description: tRNA-Ser
Rfam family: tRNA
About the family: Transfer RNA (tRNA) molecules are approximately 80 nucleotides in length. Their secondary structure includes four short double-helical elements and three loops (D, anti-codon, and T loops).
Source: RNAcentral